UUUAUGGAGAGUUUGAUCCUGGCUCAGGAUGAACGCUGGCGGCGUGCCUAAUACAUGCAAGUCGAGCGAACGGACGAGAAGCUUGCUUCUCUGAUGUUAGCGGCGGACGGGUGAGUAACACGUGGAUAACCUACCUAUAAGACUGGGAUAACUUCGGGAAACCGGAGCUAAUACCGGAUAAUAUUUUGAACCGCAUGGUUCAAAAGUGAAAGACGGUCUUGCUGUCACUUAUAGAUGGAUCCGCGCUGCAUUAGCUAGUUGGUAAGGUAACGGCUUACCAAGGCAACGAUGCAUAGCCGACCUGAGAGGGUGAUCGGCCACACUGGAACUGAGACACGGUCCAGACUCCUACGGGAGGCAGCAGUAGGGAAUCUUCCGCAAUGGGCGAAAGCCUGACGGAGCAACGCCGCGUGAGUGAUGAAGGUCUUCGGAUCGUAAAACUCUGUUAUUAGGGAAGAACAUAUGUGUAAGUAACUGUGCACAUCUUGACGGUACCUAAUCAGAAAGCCACGGCUAACUACGUGCCAGCAGCCGCGGUAAUACGUAGGUGGCAAGCGUUAUCCGGAAUUAUUGGGCGUAAAGCGCGCGUAGGCGGUUUUUUAAGUCUGAUGUGAAAGCCCACGGCUCAACCGUGGAGGGUCAUUGGAAACUGGAAAACUUGAGUGCAGAAGAGGAAAGUGGAAUUCCAUGUGUAGCGGUGAAAUGCGCAGAGAUAUGGAGGAACACCAGUGGCGAAGGCGACUUUCUGGUCUGUAACUGACGCUGAUGUGCGAAAGCGUGGGGAUCAAACAGGAUUAGAUACCCUGGUAGUCCACGCCGUAAACGAUGAGUGCUAAGUGUUAGGGGGUUUCCGCCCCUUAGUGCUGCAGCUAACGCAUUAAGCACUCCGCCUGGGGAGUACGACCGCAAGGUUGAAACUCAAAGGAAUUGACGGGGACCCGCACAAGCGGUGGAGCAUGUGGUUUAAUUCGAAGCAACGCGAAGAACCUUACCAAAUCUUGACAUCCUUUGACAACUCUAGAGAUAGAGCCUUCCCCUUCGGGGGACAAAGUGACAGGUGGUGCAUGGUUGUCGUCAGCUCGUGUCGUGAGAUGUUGGGUUAAGUCCCGCAACGAGCGCAACCCUUAAGCUUAGUUGCCAUCAUUAAGUUGGGCACUCUAAGUUGACUGCCGGUGACAAACCGGAGGAAGGUGGGGAUGACGUCACACCCCCUCAUGCCCCUUAUGAUUUGGGCUACACACGUGCUACAAUGGACAAUACAAAGGGCAGCGAAACCGCGAGGUCAAGCAAAUCCCAUAAAGUUGUUCUCAGUUCGGAUUGUAGUCUGCAACUCGACUACAUGAAGCUGGAAUCGCUAGUAAUCGUAGAUCAGCAUGCUACGGUGAAUACGUUCCCGGGUCUUGUACACACCGCCCGUCACACCACGAGAGUUUGUAACACCCGAAGCCGGUGGAGUAACCUUUUAGGAGCUAGCCGUCGAAGGUGGGACAAAUGAUUGGGGUGAAGUCGUAACAAGGUAGCCGUAUCGGAAGGUGCGGCUGGAUCACCUCCUUUCU
RNAcentral lists this ribosomal RNA (1556 nucleotides) under Staphylococcus aureus. RNAcentral's name for it is "16S ribosomal RNA". It matches the Rfam family "Bacterial small subunit ribosomal RNA". Lineage: Bacteria; Bacillati; Bacillota; Bacilli; Caryophanales; Staphylococcaceae. The record is from RNAcentral.